RNAcentral lists this ribosomal RNA (348 nucleotides) under Triticum aestivum (bread wheat). RNAcentral describes it as "partial small subunit ribosomal RNA". The record is from RNAcentral. Lineage: Eukaryota; Viridiplantae; Streptophyta; Magnoliopsida; Poales; Poaceae.
AUGACUCCAACUCAGAGACCUACAGAUACAAACAUUGAUCGGGUGACGGAUCUCAUAGGCACACGGACUUGGACUUGGAAGCUUGAAUUGAUCAGGGACAAUUUUACUGCUCAGGAUGUCGCGGCCAUACUUAAUAUUCCUAUCAGGCAAGGCGGGGGUGAUGAUUUUCUUGCAUGGGCAUUUGAUAAAUCAGGUAACUACACUGUAAAGACGGCGUACCGUGCUCUCGUGACUCAGAAUGAGCGUUUGGCUCUAGAGGAAGGGACGGCUACCGAAACCUCAUCGGACGAUCGACAGUUGUGGAAAUCCUUGUGGAAGUUGAAUGUUAUCCCAAAAGUGCGAGUGUUC